GAAAUGCGAUAAGUAGUGUGAAUUGCAGAAUUCAGUGAAUCAUCGAAUCUUUGAACGCACCUUGCGCCCUUUGGUAUUCCAAAGGGCAUGCCUGUUCGAGCGUCAUUUGUACCCUCAAGCUUUGCUUGGUGUUGGGCGUCUUGUCUCUAGCUUUGCUGGAGACUCGCCUUAAAGUAAUUGGCAGCCGGCCUACUGGUUUCGGAGCGCAGCACAAGUCGCACUCUCUAUCAGCAAAGGUCUAGCAUCCAUUAAGCCUUUUUUCAACUUUUGACCUCGGAUCAGGUAGGAAUACCCGCUGAACUUAAGC
Molecule: unclassified non-coding RNA, 307 nt
Filed under: plant metagenome
Description: partial contains 5.8S ribosomal RNA, internal transcribed spacer 2, and large subunit ribosomal RNA
Rfam family: 5.8S ribosomal RNA (bases 1-105)
Source: RNAcentral